This is an RNA transcript of Ziziphus jujuba (common jujube), 1731 nucleotides long. RefSeq lists it as uncharacterized. Lineage: Eukaryota; Viridiplantae; Streptophyta; Magnoliopsida; Rosales; Rhamnaceae. The transcript is spliced from 3 exons. The record is from RefSeq and is a predicted model, not a curated record.
CCUUUGUAGUAUUGGCCGUGUAACUUGUUUUUUCCUUUCUGAAUUCUUCAUCCGAGUGAUAAUUUCCCAUGAGGUUCCGAUGACUUUCAAGAUGUCAACAUCUGUCUUUAGCCUCUGUUUCUAAUCUGUGUACCUGUUGAACCUUGUUACAAAAAAAUAAAAGAAUAAAAAAAUAAUACCUGUUGAGCAUUGCAAGUGUUUUCUUUCACUCCCUUUGAUUUUUCCAUAAAGAGGAAAACCAAACAAAACCAUCCUACUACUUUCUGCAGUGCGAUUGUUUGAGGGAUAAAGCCCACAUCUCAUAUUCUACUUUGGGAAACAUGCAAAAGAUUUGAGCCUCUAGUGGAACUGUUGUUGUCCGACAAGGGUUAUGUUCAGGUUUUGAUUUCUAGGGUUUGUGUAUAUAAUGUUGGUACUAAGCAUGAAUCCAAAAAGACAGAGGCGCCCAAAUGUUAGGUUAGGGGAAAUAGGAGAUGUUUCUGCUGCUUUCACAUGUGGAUUUUCUCAAAAUGCUAAGGAAAAGUCAGUGCACAAGAAGUGGAAGAUUGAUUUUGUGAACCCUGUGGAGACAAAGCAUAAUCCAAUCUAUGGUUUUUCUUCUGAGCAGAAAUCCUCUGAGUUUACCAUUUCAGACCCCGGAGUCUCUCCACGAAUUUCAGUUGACAUGCAACAAAACAGAGAGAACAAUAACCCAAAUUCUUCAAAAUGGGCAGUUGAAUCCUCAAGUUUGGAUGAAAUUGAUAUGACUAGAUCUAAACUAAAUUUCAGUAAUAUAACCCGGAAGUGUAGGGUUAUGAAGAGAAGGGGUCAGAGCAAAAGAGGCAACAAAAGUGUUUUUGGAAGUGCUUGGGGUUCUAAACUUAGCCCUGAGUUCAGUGGACAAGAUGAGAGACAAUGUGGUGAGAAGGAGCUUGAUGGGUAUGCAUUCAACAUAUGUGAUGACUACUGUCCUGGUGAUGGUUUCAAGGACCCUUCAGAUCAUGAAACACCAGCUACAAGCAAAGAGGCUUGCGAAUUCAAUGUGUAUGAACCCAUAGGUGGUGUGCAGCCACAAGGAAACUUUGGUGAUUAUUGGAAUGAGGAUGUCUGUUUUGAGGCAAAUGAUGCUUUUACUAAAUGUGAUGGUGUAUUGGAUGACAUGGAAUUUGAAGGAAGUGACAUUAAUUGUGUCAGGAAAUGGUUGGAAGAGCUAGGUUUUGGUAAAUAUGCUGAUGUAUUUGAAAUGCAUGAAGUUGAUGAAGAAGCUUUGCUGCUACUUACUCUUGAAGAUCUUAAAGAGAUGGGCGUGUUUGCUGUUGGGCCUCGUCGGAAGUUGUUCACAGCAAUUCAACAGUUAAGAGGUGGAGAUGUUUCUUCUUGACCAAUCAGCUAAGAACAUAGGUGAUCUUGCUGUCGCUGCUGUUACGAGCUCCUUUUGUGCAGGAAACAUAACCCAUAUGGUUUACUUAGGGCUAAAGGUUCGGCUUAGAUAGCUAUGGCAAUUCAAAGUCCCCGAGGUCCGCCUUUUAAUUUUUGGGCAUUAUGGGAAUAAAAUUGCAAGAUAAUUUUUAGCUUCUUCCUUGAAUUUUAUGUAUAUCAGGUUGUUUCAUAAAAACCUUUUAGUAGUUUCUUUGCCCUGAUUGUACUUGAGUAAUUGAACCUAAAUCAGCCAUAAAAAUUACAAUUAGAAUCGAUUGUUUACGGAGGGAAUUCAAGUAGGAAGCUCAGUGUUCUGUUUAACUCCCAUAUUUC